Molecule: long non-coding RNA, 109 nt
Organism: Sinocyclocheilus grahami
Lineage: Eukaryota; Metazoa; Chordata; Actinopteri; Cypriniformes; Cyprinidae
Exons: 3
Source: RefSeq, a predicted model, not a curated record
AGUUAAUUCUGCUCACCUGUGUUCAUUCUAUUAUGCCAUUAGUCUCUCUCUUGCGCUUGUAUAAAUUCUCCCCAUUUCUGUUCUGUCCUGAAAACAGUCUUUUCAUAUA